UUCCAAACAAAUACAAUGGCGGAUAAUCAUAUCCUAUUACAACUAAGGCAAUGCAAAACACUGUGCUUGACUAGAAGAAAAUCAAAGAACAAACGAUGAACCUAUAGUCCUAUACCAAUAGAGAAUAAAUAAUAAUUCAGCGUCAGAUUAAGUGUAAUUAAUUGUAUUUUUGUGUGCUACACUACAACGGCGUCGUCUCCUCUCUUUGCUGGAGCCUCUGCAUUUUCCACUCGCGAUUGGUGACCACCUUGUUUCAUGGUGCUGUUGGUGCUGGUGGGCAGAGGGUGUUGGGGUCCCAUGUACUACCUUUACACGAGGCUCCCGCCGGCUUCAUCUGUAGAGGCGGCAGCUUGUGCCACACCUUCCAGACCGACGACGGCAGCACGAUGACCGAGCCGGCGGCGCUGGCCGGGGCCUGCUGCUCGACCCGGCGACCGUCGUCGGCCAGCAGCGGCCUCGCGGCGUCGGCCGGAGGACAAGUCCAAGAGCUCGACAGGACCACGAACAGCAGGAGCAAUGGGACAACAACCUUUGAUCUCGUCAUGGAGUUUACUUGGAUAGCACAGUAAUAUAAACUGAUCUCUCGCUCUCAGUUUUUAGCUUAUCCAGCAGCUACU
RNAcentral lists this long non-coding RNA (617 nucleotides) under Setaria viridis. Its description in RNAcentral is "long non-coding RNA (SVIR_LNC004058)". Lineage: Eukaryota; Viridiplantae; Streptophyta; Magnoliopsida; Poales; Poaceae. The record is from RNAcentral.